UUUGUAUAUUAUAAUUCGCACCAUCCAAAUUUUCUUUCAUCUGCCAAAUAUUACUCUUUAUAUCACAGAAAGUUAAAUUUAUGUCCAAUUACAUUAGCACAAAACAAAUUUUGAAUUAAUAAUCUAAAAUGGUGAAAAAUAAUACUUCUUUUUUGUUUUUUUUUUGAGGGAUAGGUAACACGCUACCCGCUUUCUUUAUUUCAUUUAGAAAUAAACUUAGCUAGAAAUGUGAAUCAACUAGGAUUCGAACUUGUGAAUUAACUAGGAUUCGAAUUUGGGUCUCGGGUACCAAUUAACCACCAAGCCUCUGCCACUUGCUCUAGGAACGGUUGGUGUGAAAAAUAAUACUUCAAUGCAAGUUAAUACCUAUGUUAGUUAAUUCACGAAUUAUUCAUGAAUUAUUGAAAAUCCGAAUUAAACGGCCAGUUUUUGAAUUUUUUCCAAAGAUAGAGAAUUAUUCGCGAAUUUUUGGGCUAGCCGAAUAAUUCGCGAAUUAUUCCCAAAUUAUUGAAAAUAUGAAUAAAAAACAUAUAAUUUUUAUAUUUAAAUAUAAAUUAUCUUAUAUUUAAUAUCUUAUAUUUUAUAUUUUAUACCGAAUCCGUUUUUUAAACCGAAUUUUUCAACGAAUUUAAAAAUUAGAAAACAAAUUUUAUACGUAUUAUACUCGUACCGAAUUUUUGCCGAAUCCGAAUUAACUAACUAUGGUUAAUACUACUCUCUCAAAGACACGAAGUAUUAAAC
RNAcentral lists this long non-coding RNA (741 nucleotides) under Ananas comosus (pineapple). Its description in RNAcentral is "long non-coding RNA (ACOM_LNC033874)". The record is from RNAcentral. Lineage: Eukaryota; Viridiplantae; Streptophyta; Magnoliopsida; Poales; Bromeliaceae.